Molecule: ribosomal RNA, 550 nt
Filed under: uncultured stramenopile
Lineage: Eukaryota
Description: bacterial SSU rRNA
Rfam family: Eukaryotic small subunit ribosomal RNA
Source: RNAcentral
UAUUAAUGUUGUUGCAGUUAAAAAGCCCGUAGUUGGAUUUCUGCUGGAAGCGUCCGGUCCGCCCCUCACGGGGUGUGUACUAGCGUCGUCUUUUGGCAUCCUUGUGAAGAGCCGUUCUGGCAUUAAGUUGUUGGGAUUGGGGACUCACAUCGUUUACUGUGAAAAAAUUAGAGUGUUUAAAGCAGGCAAUUGCUGUGAAUACAUUAGCAUGGAAUAAUAAGAUAGGACUUUGGUGCUAUUUUGUUGGUUUGUACACCGGGGUAAUGAUUAACAGGGACAGUUGGGGGUAUUCGUAUUUCAUUGUCAGAGGUGAAAUUCUUGGAUUUAUGAAAGACGAACUACUGCGAAAGCAUUUACCAAGGAUGUUUUCAUUAAUCAAGAACGAAAGUUAGGGGAUCGAAGAUGAUUAGAUACCAUCGUAGUUUUAACCAUAAACUAUGCCGACUAGGGAUUGGCGGACGCUGUUUUAUGGCUCCGUCAGCACCUUAUGAGAAAUCAAAGUCUUUGGGUUCCGGGGGGAGUAUGGUCGCAAGGCUGAAACUUAAAGGAA